This 693-nucleotide ribosomal RNA is filed under the name uncultured bacterium. Its description in RNAcentral is "bacterial SSU rRNA". It matches the Rfam family "Bacterial small subunit ribosomal RNA", at positions 140 to 851 of the family's 1533-position model. The record is from RNAcentral.
GGGAUAACAGUUGGAAACGGCUGCUAAUACCGCAUAAGCGCACAGCAUCGCAUGAUGCAGUGUGAAAAACUCCGGUGGUAUAAGAUGGACCCGCGUUGGAUUAGCUAGUUGGUGAGGUAACGGCCCACCAAGGCGACGAUCCAUAGCCGACCUGAGAGGGUGACCGGCCACAUUGGGACUGAGACACGGCCCAAACUCCUACGGGAGGCAGCAGUGGGGAAUAUUGCACAAUGGGCGAAAGCCUGAUGCAGCGACGCCGCGUGAGCGAAGAAGUAUUUCGGUAUGUAAAGCUCUAUCAGCAGGGAAGAUAAUGACGGUACCUGACUAAGAAGCACCGGCUAAAUACGUGCCAGCAGCCGCGGUAAUACGUAUGGUGCAAGCGUUAUCCGGAUUUACUGGGUGUAAAGGGAGCGCAGGCGGUGCGGCAAGUCUGAUGUGAAAGCCCGGGGCUCAACCCCGGUACUGCAUUGGAAACUGUCGUACUAGAGUGUCGGAGGGGUAAGCGGAAUUCCUAGUGUAGCGGUGAAAUGCGUAGAUAUUAGGAGGAACACCAGUGGCGAAGGCGGCUUACUGGACGAUAACUGACGCUGAGGCUCGAAAGCGUGGGGAGCAAACAGGAUUAGAUACCCUGGUAGUCCACGCCGUAAACGACGAAAAGGAGGUGUUGGGAAGCAUUGCUUCUCGGUGCCGUCG